RNAcentral lists this long non-coding RNA (1389 nucleotides) under Homo sapiens (human). Its description in RNAcentral is "HSALNT0329717". The record is from RNAcentral. Lineage: Eukaryota; Metazoa; Chordata; Mammalia; Primates; Hominidae.
CCGGGUUCUCGCCAUUCUCCUGCCUCAGCCUUCCGAGUAGCUGGGACUAUAGGUGCCCGCCACCACGCCAGGCUAAUUUUUUGUAUUUUUAGUAGAGAUGGGGUUUCACCGUGUUAGCCAGGAUGGUCUCGAUCUUCUGACCUCGUGAUCCGCCCGCCUCGGCCUCCCAAAGUGCUAGGAUUACAGGCGUGAGCCACCGCGCCCGGCAGCAAAUUUUAAGUAUUGAUGGAUGGUUGGGUGACAUGGACUCCAGUAUGUGCCAUGAAGGAUACGAAGAUGAAGCUGUCAUGAACUCUGCUCUCGAGAAGCUACUGUCAAACCUUCUCAAUGUGAACACCACAAGGAUGAAGACCUUUAUAAUGAUCCAUCUCCACUUAAUUAAGAAUAAAUAUUUUUUCUCUUACUCAUGAUUUUAUUAAUGGUAUUUUCUUUUCUCUAGCUUACUUUAUUAUAAAAAUACAGUAUAUAAUACAUAUAGCACACAAAAUAUGUGUUGAUCGACUAUUUAUGUUAUUGAUAAGGCUUCCGGUCAAAAGUAGGCUAAUAGUAGCUACAUUUUUUGGCAAAUCAAAGGCUAAUUACUUGGAUCUGAUCACUAUACAUUAUGUAUAUCACAACAUCACUAUGUGCCCCAUAAAUAUGUACAAUUAUUGUGUUUAUUUAAAAUUUGGAAAAUAAAAAGUUACAAAACAUUUUUUUAAAAUUUAAAAUUUAAAAGUUCUAUGUGGAUUUUUGAGUGCAUGGGUAAGUUGUCACCCCUAACCCCCGUGGUUCCAGGAUCAACUGUAGUGUGUAUUCUUACUGACUCAAAAUUCUUUAUAUUUAUCUGCUUCUCCACCACUCGCCACUUCAAAUGAACAAUUAACUUGUCAAAGAUUAUUUUCCUCAAUACACAACUUCCUAUUUCUCACUCUCCCUCAUCUCCUCUUUCUUUCUUCUUGCCUCUUAUUAAAACCCAAAAGUUGAUAAGAAAGUGGAAUUAAAGAUAGAAUUUGUGUAUAAACAGACUUAACUGUAGUGUUCAUUCUUUUCCAUUUCCUAAAUUGUCCAAUUUCACCAGACAAUGACCUCAAUCUAGCCUAGAAUAAUAAAAACAAUUACCAGCUACUCUAUUGCAUGAAUAAGCCCUAGUUUUACUUUGCAAGCAUCCCAUUAAGUGUUUGCUGGAUUUUUCUAUUUUCCUUCUCUAUGUCAGAGUCAAGGCAAGCAUCACAAGCCAAGUAGCCACCCUGCUAACUGGAAGGUAAAAGAAGAGCCAGGGGAGGGAAACAGACUCAGAGACUAUCAAUUUUCCCUGAACUAGAACAACCUAUUCUUAUCAGAGAAGAUGAGCAUCACUUAACAUUUGACAAACCACUGUCCCCAGAGUGCAUUACCAUGGUAAUCCAG